CGCUGGCGGCGUGCUACUAGCAGUGCAUGUCGAACGAUGUUUCGCUUUUAAGUGAAGGGCGGUGCUUGCACCAACCUGAUUUACCAGAAGUAACUCGAUGUGGCGGACGGGUGAGUAAGCACGUGGGUAACCUGCCCUCAAGCGGGGUGAUAAUCACUUGGAAACAGAUGCUAAUACCGCAUAAUAUUAAAAACCACAUGGUUUUUAAUUGAAAGACGGCGUAAGCUGUCACUUUUGGAUGGACCCGCGGCGUAUUAGCUAGUUGGUGAGGUAACGGCUCACCAAGGCGAUGAUACGUAGCCGACCUGAGAGGGUGAUCGGCCACAUUGGGACUGAGACACGGCCCAAACUCCUACGGGAGGCAGCAGUAGGGAAUCUUCCACAAUGGACGAAAGUCUGAUGGAGCAACGCCGCGUGAGUGAAGAAGGUUUUCGGAUCGUAAAACUCUGUUAUUGGAGAAGAACGUAUUUAGGUAGUAACUGGCCAGAUAGUGACGGUAUCCAAUCAGAAAGCCACGGCUAACUACGUGCCAGCAGCCGCGGUAAUACGUAAGGUGGCAAGCGUUGUCCGGGACUUCAUUUGGGCGUAAAAGCGAGGUGCA
RNAcentral lists this ribosomal RNA (601 nucleotides) under uncultured bacterium. Its description in RNAcentral is "bacterial SSU rRNA". It matches the Rfam family "Bacterial small subunit ribosomal RNA", at positions 34 to 576 of the family's 1533-position model. The record is from RNAcentral.